RNAcentral lists this ribosomal RNA (530 nucleotides) under uncultured bacterium. Its description in RNAcentral is "bacterial SSU rRNA". It matches the Rfam family "Bacterial small subunit ribosomal RNA", at positions 777 to 1304 of the family's 1533-position model. The record is from RNAcentral.
AAUAGAUACCCGGGUAGUCCACGCCGUAAACGAUGAGUGCUAAGUGUUAGAGGGUUUCCGCCCUUUAGUGCUGCAGCUAACGCAUUAAGCACUCCGCCUGGGGAGUACGGCCGCAAGGCUGAAACUCAAAGGAAUUGACGGGGGCCCGCACAAGCGGUGGAGCAUGUGGUUUAAUUCGAAGCAACGCGAAGAACCUUACCAGGUCUUGACAUCCUCUGACACUCCUAGAGAUAGGACGUUCCCCUUCGGGGGACAGAGUGACAGGUGGUGCAUGGUUGUCGUCAGCUCGUGUCGUGAGAUGUUGGGUUAAGUCCCGCAACGAGCGCAACCCUUGUUCUUAGUUGCCAGCAUUCAGCUGGGCACUCUAAGGAGACUGCCGGUGACAAACCGGAGGAAGGUGGGGAUGACGUCAAAUCAUCAUGCCCCUUAUGACCUGGGCUACACACGUGCUACAAUGGAUGGUACAAAGGGCAGCAAAGCCGCGAGGCCUAGCCAAUCCCGAUAAAACCAUUCUCAGUUCGGAUUGUAGG